This 2871-nucleotide ribosomal RNA is filed under the name Triticum aestivum (bread wheat). RNAcentral describes it as "partial small subunit ribosomal RNA". The record is from RNAcentral. Lineage: Eukaryota; Viridiplantae; Streptophyta; Magnoliopsida; Poales; Poaceae.
CGUCUCUUAUCCUGUCGUUCUUGGGCAGGAGGCCUCGGCAGGAAGACUCGGGGUGGUCUCAGGCGCGACGCGGAGCUGGCCGGAGCGCACGGACAUCUGCGGCGGCCGCCGCCCUCCCUGCUCCCGCUGCUACCCUCCCCGCUCCCCAACGCUACCUCGCUCUGCCCUUGCUGCGGUUGCUGCAGGAGCUUCUUCACUCGAUGCUCGCCGGCACAGCUCGUGGAUGCCCGAUGCUUGCUUCUCGUCAGCUCCCAUUGCGGUGCCGGAGGGCAGCUCUUCUCGGCAGGCGGGGGGUGCAGCGUGACCCACCGUGGGAUGGCGUCAUGGAGCUUGUAGAUGGAGGCGGAGCAGCCGAGCCAUCUUCUGCACGUCUUGGAUGUGUCAUCUGCCGACAACGGCACCGGCUAUGAAGGGGCGGCGCGCUGGUUGUGCUGGUGCUGCGCCGCAUAGCUGUUCCGGCAGGAGAAGAGGCUCCUGAGACAUGGCAGGAGCUGGGGACGCCGAUUCAGAGGCGGGCGGCAACCCCGGGGUCGCCAGUGACGUUGAGGAAGGCCGGGGCCUGGCUUCCUGGGUGGAUACAUGGCAUCUGCGGCUCCUGGGCAAAAAGAAGAAUAGAGGUGAGGGAGAGAAAAAGGGAGAAAGGAGGGGAGGUGCGGCGUCCUAGGCGGGAGCUCGCCGAAGCGGGGCGACGGUGGGCGGGCACGGGAGACGGAGGGAUUUAGAGUCGGCCGGUCGAGCAACACCAAGCAGGCCAUGGGUGGCGUACACUUUUAGUAGAAAAUGGACCACAACGAUGAACCAACUACUAUUCAGGAUUUUGAUAACCGGCCUUAACAAAAAACAUUCUGAAUUGAGUGUAUUGGAUUCAGAUAAACUGAUAGAUGAUGAUGAAUUUCCAUCACCAACUAUUUCAACAUCAUCUCUAGUCUUCAGAACCAGAUAGACACAUGAACCUCUGCCACCACUGUUGAGCAGUACCUCAGGUGAACUAUCAGCACUACCUGUCAUCCAACAAUAACAAGCUCAAGUGUUGUAUAUGUAUCCUCUUAAUGUACUCACAACCUCUGGCUCACAACAGUGCACUUGCACACACAUAAGCAACAGAUUCAGCUUCUUCUUCCUCACGACAGUGGUGGUGGUGGAGCUUUUAGCACCGGCCGAUCUGCUCGGUUCCACCAUUGCCAUCCUCUGAAUCAAGUGAUCUGUUGGAUUUCUAUAGCAAAUUCUAUUAGUUUUUACGUCUGCCAGUUGUCUGAGAGCAACAAUUGCGAGAGAGAUAUCAGGGAAAAGGGGCGCCAGCUACCAGCUCACCACAUUGAGUGGCCAACGAGGACGGAAAGACACACACGAUUGUCGGCUCCGUCGUGAUGUGAUCCCUCGGUUAUAUGGAUGAAGCUGUUGGCGGCUUUGAUUUACAGCGCCCCAGUCGGCUGGGAUACAGGGAUGAGAAGUCCAACAUGUGUCUUUGCCAAUGGCAAUCACGGGGGAAGAAUGUUAGGGACGAGAUGAAUUCAAACACACAACGGUCAUAGCCAGCAGGAGGUUGCGUUUGGACGUGGGUGGGCUUGGUUCCUACAAGAGGUGGAAGACGGCCGUGACUAGGCAGCCGGGUUUAACAUCGCAACUCGAUGCCGACAUGGACGGCGGGCUGCUCCUCUUCUUUUACCGUGCUGGGUCUUACCUCCCGCCCCCUCUCCUCAACUAAGCUGUGGAAGAACCGCAUCCAAUUUGAUAGCAUGCAUUCAGUUGUGAAGUGUGCAGUGCUGUGGAGGAAAUUGUCCUGCCCCAUGCUGAUCAGCGCGCCAUAACAUGUAACUGAUUCCGUCCUCCUCACCUUUGAGCCUCUUAAUCACUACUGUUGGCUGUGCAUUGUUCCGAUUUAUCAGCUAUGAUUUGGUCUUGGUGCUUCUUAACCACUACUGUUGGUUGUGCAUUGUUCUGAUUUAUCAGCUAUGAUUUGGCCUUACUGCUUCUUAAUCACUACUGGUGGCUGCUCUUUGAUCAAAUUUCUUAUCUGUGAUCUGAUAGAUAAAAGUAGUUGGUCGGAGUAUAGGAAUAUAAUCCUUCAUGUGAGAAGGAAGAAAGCCAUGUGCGAUACAACAUAAAAAAAAAUCUUCAAUAGACACAGAGAUCACAGCAAGGGAACGGAAGUACAUCAUCACUUUACAGGUUCACCGUAAGCAUGUUCAGUACAUGUUCACGGUAUGUACCCCUGCUCUUCCCUAAUUACUUUCAUCAUAUAUCACAUUUCUGUUUAGUGCAGAUAAGCUGCUUGAUGAUAUCUAUAGGGCCAAACAGUUUAUGCUUUCCCUUCCCAGCUACAACAUAUAGCAAUUGUUUCACCUGAAAUAAUAAAAAGUAAGAUGAUUCCUGGAGUUUGUAACACAAUGUUUUACUGAAGCGUAUUUUUUGUUCUUCACACAAUUUCCCUUUUAAUUCUACGGAAAUAGUUUUACGAACACCGACCACCUGUACGUGCAAGUUGGUCUCAAGAAGCCUAAUUAACCAUUAUCAUCCUUCACUAUUUUCCUAAAGGCUAAAGCCUUGGAGUUAGUUGGCCCCUUAUUAGUAUGAUUAAAUGUUAGGUUCAAAAUUCUGUGCUAUCCAAAAAUGUAGGCCAUUUUAGCAUUUUGACCAGCAACAAAUUUCUAAGCUUGCCAUCUCUAAUUAAAUAAUUACUGCUAGCAUCCACAACAUGAGAUUGGUAUUACUAGACUUAUGUCUACCUAGAUUGGACCUAAAAUUCCCAUUAUCUUAAUAAUUAUUGACUUGAUUUGUAAAAUGAUGGUAGAUUAGUGCAAUUUGAUUGAAUCUGAUUUCUUUUUGUUUUGGGGACUAAAAGUUCAUGUCUUUUUUGUUGUUCAACCGUUG